Molecule: long non-coding RNA, 5835 nt
Organism: Panicum virgatum (switchgrass)
Lineage: Eukaryota; Viridiplantae; Streptophyta; Magnoliopsida; Poales; Poaceae
Exons: 4
Source: RefSeq, a predicted model, not a curated record
CACUCUUUUAUUCCAUUCCAGUGAAACAUCAUCCUGUAUUCAUUUCACACUGCUGCGCUCGCCGGUCAUGGCCGCUGCAAGCGGGUGGAGCGAGGAAGGGAGGAGCCUCCUCCUCGACGGCGCGCGCGACGGGGUGUCCCUCCGGCGAGCCACGUGGAGAGCAGCGGAGGCGUCGCGCCUGCAGCGACUAAUCCGUCGGAUCGGAGAUGUGCGGGUCGGAUCGUUUUCAGGACAGGGGAGCCGUCGUCCUCGCCUGGACCUACCGGCGCGGGACUUCAAAGGUGCCACAGGCCUGGUGGAGCGCGGGAGCAGACAGCAGAGCGUGUCAAGCGCGACAAGCCAACGGCCUAGGCGGGCCCAAACGGGGACUGUCCGACGACGGGCUGGCUGACAGGCCGAAGCCGGCCGAACUGGUGACGAGCGGCGACGGCGAGGCGGCGUUCAGUCCCUUCCCUUGCGCCCGGCCGCCAGGGGAGCACCCUGCCGGGCGGCGGCCUACCGCCGUGACGACCUUGCGCCCAGGCCCCAGGGGGAACAAUGCUCCAAUUGCAGGAAUUCUCCUCGUGGGGCCGGGAGUGCCGUCUGCCCCUCAAGUUUUCAGUCGAGACCACCCUACGGCAGCCGGUACGGUACCCCCAUUACGUGUGCCCCAAUUGCAGUUCGUGCCCAGAAUUUCAUCUAAUCCCUGAAGGUCCCUCUAGGAAUAAAGUAACUCGAGAACUCAAGGUAGUGCUGUUGCUGUUUUUGGUAAUCACUGUGUUGAAGCUGCUGCUACUGUCGUCUUCAAAAUGCAUUUAUUUUAGGCCCAGGACGCCCCAUUUUGUUGUUUAAGACACGAGGUUGAAAUUUCGAAGAAUCAGCCCAGCAAUUUUUUUUGCAUAUCCGAACAAAAGUGUAGAUUUGUAUUAAACAAUAUGCACAACAAUCAAGCAUACUCGUAUGACUAUAUUGGCAAAUAUUUUCUUCUUGAUGAAGAUAACUACCAGCAUUUAUCUCAGAAUUGAUUGAUGGCAAUGCAGUUCUACCUUUCUAGUGUGAUACUCAUAGCCAUAGUUGCGCUGCAUGACGAAACUUCUUCCUCACUUGGAUUUACAUGGAAGUAAGCUGGUUGCAUAGGCUUGGGUAAGCUCACAUCUUUAGAGUUUAGCAUUGUGACAACUCGCUCCAUAUCAGGCCGAUGCUCUGCACUUUCUUGGACACAUAAAAGUGCCACAUGAAUGCACCUUUCUAUCUCAAGAUGUCCAUUGCAUGAAGGAGAAUAAAUCAGCUCACCCAAUUUUUCAUCACUCCAAAGUUGCCAAGCCUGCCAAAGUAGCAUUUUUUUUUAAACAAUUAACAUUGGGGUCUACAUGUAGAAGCAAGUGGGUAUGCAUAGAUAAAAGUUCUGGAUGGUGUUAAGGUUACACUCACAUAUGAGAUGAGAUUAUACAGCUUUCCAUUGUAGUCAUAGAACUGGGCUGUCCUCUUUGAGCUUAUUAUUUCCAAUGUCAAUACGCCGAAGCUAAAAACAUCCGAUUUGAUGGAGCAAACCCCAUGAAAAGCAUAUUCAGGAGGUAUAUACCCACUGAGCAUCACAAGUUAAAUUUGUGUCAGUAAUGCAAAAAAAGAAAAAAAUAUAAAUCACAUGCUAUCCUACAUGUUCUUUUUUUUCUUCCAAAAAGAAGCACCUCUAUGAAUAUUUCAUAUACUCUAAAUGCACAGAUCCAUAUGUUCUUACUGUGUGCCCACUAUUCUUGUGGUAUUUGAUUCUUUCACUUUUGAGCAGACUAUUCUGGCCAUCCCAAAAUCAGAUAUUUUUGGAUUCAUUUCACCGUCCAAGAGAAUGUUAUUUGCUUUCAAAUCCCUAUGGACAACACAUAAUCGUGAAUAAUUGUGAAGGUAAAGAAGCCCUUGAGCUAUUCCAUCAAUUAUGUGCACACGAUUUGAGCAGUUUAGUUGUUCUCCCUUCAAAUUAUCUGCAAAAGGUGUAUAAUUAAUCAAAGCUGUUGACAUGCUAUAAACAGCAUUACACAUGUAGAAGUGACAAGUCUUGCCAAAUAUGAAGCAGUCUAGACUUUUAUUUUCCAUGUAUUCGUAUACAAGCAUCUUUUCUUGUUCUCCUUUAGUGCAGUAACCCAGAAGCUUAACGAGAUUUUUGUGUUGAAGCUUCGAUAUAAGCUGAAUUUCAUUUUGGAAUUCCAAUAAACCUUGUAAAGAACAUGUUUCUAGUCUCUUGACUGCUAUUUUAAUUCCACUGCUCAAUUGGCCCUGAGAUUGAUUGAAACGGAAAAAGAAUGUGUUAUUUUUUCGUAACUCAAUAACUUGGUUUACUGGAAACUUAUAUUCAUUAUAUUUAGCCACAAAAUAAAACUUAUGACCAUUGUAUAAGAUAUCUCCACAAUAAUAUAGAAAUGGCAUUAUAUUUGUAUUAACAAUGCAAUUUUUAAUUCAUUUUAGGGGUCCAUUUGCAAUGUAAGGACAUAAUACCUUGUAUACAGGACCAAAGCCACCUUGCCCCAAUUUAUUAUCAACUGAAAAGUUGUUUGUAGCUUCCUUUAUAUGCGUGUAAUCAUAUUGUGAAAAUCCCAAGUUGCCGCCUUCCAUCCUCCAUAAACUUAUUACACUUUGUAUUGCCAAUAUUUGUCGUAAUUUUAAUAUUGCAUGCUCUGAAAAACAAUUUCAAAAUUUUAUGCUGUCGAUAUUUGUAAGAGAACAAUAACAAAUGGCACAAAUUUUGGUCUGCUGUUAUGUAAAUUCAUACCUUUCUGUUGCUGUGUUUUGAUCCAUACAUGAAAAAGCAGGCAAGAAAUGAAUAUUACCAUUAAGACUACUCCAAAUGCAACCAAGGUAUCAGCUGUGUUGCCUGUGCAUCAAUGCAUAAGACCAAUGAGUUGUAAUUUGAGAAGACGAACUAAAAGUGCACCUCUACGGCACAGGCAAUCAGUGUUUUAGCUAGGGAGAUCAGGUUGGAUUUAAUCUGUAGGUGUUGUUUGACAUGUACCUGGCACCAUUAUAAUUACUGCAGAAGAUCUGGCCAGCUAAUGUUGCUGGGCAAGAGAGGAAGAGGAAGAGGAAGAGGAAAGAUAAUAGUAGUGUUAUGAUUGGUAGCUAGCGUUCCAUGGCCUUUGUUCCAUCUAUAUUGCAGAAUUGCUCGUCAAGAAGUCUGAGGUGAGUAAAUAUCAUAUUUGCUUCAUCUACCAAGAGGCAAAGGAAUUCAAAGGUCAAGCAUUGGUUCCAUUCAAUAGUCUGUGGAAAAUGAUUGCUAAGACUCAUUCUUUGCAUUAGUAAUUGAUAGAUGGUGACAUGCCCAUAUUUUCCACUGAAGAUUGGUCCAGAGGCUGUUUCGUGGGUUGGAAUCUGAGGUGAAGUAGUGGACUUGUCUACAUUCCCGUGUGAGCAGUGUGCCUGUAUACAUUCCAGAUGCUUUCAUAUUUAUUGAUUACGUCUUCAAUGGUUUCUCAUGCUGACAAAUAUGUCCUAGCUUGUGGUAAAAGUAAAGGGGACUGAAAACAACCACGCAUAGAUUUACAAUAUAUUCUGAAAAAUGAUAUCUAUUGCGGGAAAUUGCAAUUCAUGGUCACAACAGAACUUGGCUAUGUGCUAGUGGUAGACAGUUUGGAACCGAAAUAUAAAUAAAUUCAGUCUUACACUGUUUACACGGGAUAGUAAGGAAGAUCUUGUAUGUAAAACCACAAGUCAAAUCAGCCUAACAGGUUAACUGGUGAGAAACAGCGGAACACACUGCCUGGUACAAUUAAUUAACACAAGGAUGGCCAAGACCUGUAAGGCUGUAACUCAUACUUCACUAACAGAGUAAGCAGGUUGCUUUGGUUCUGGCAAAGUGAUGCCAUCGCUGCUAAGAAUUGCAACAACAUCAGCCAUUGUGGGACGAUCUAUUGUUUUUUCUUGAACACACAUCAAUGCCACGGCAAGGUAUUUCAUCAGCUCUUCCGGUUCAUAUUCAUCACCAAAUGAUUGACUGAUGAACUCAUCCCAUCUCCUACCUUUCCACAGUUGCCAGGCCUGAAAAGGAAAAAAAAAGAUAUUUACAUUCCCAGCAGCAUAUGAUGGUACAUCUUUAUGCUGUUAGAUCUAGCUACAAACAUAAGAGAACAAGAGAUAAAGGAAACUGCACUAUACUUUGUGGAAAGAAAGAAAGAAUGUAGAAUAGAGCCACACUAGUAAUGGUACCUGAUACGCUAGUAUAUAUGCAAUUGUUAGAAACAGUAUUUGUUCCACCUUUUUUUUUUGAAAUAAUUACAGUAGGGGAGCCCCCUACUAACCACCAACAUUACAGAUUGUUGGUUUUUAGCUGCUUACAUAUUCAAGGAGGUUGUAGAAUUCUCCAUUGUACUGAAAACCCGAGCUCCUCUUUCCGCUUAAAAUCUCAAGAAGCAGGACCCCGAAACUGAAAACAUCUGACUUGAUUGAGAGAAGGCCACCAGAAGCAUAUUCAGGAGCCAUGUAUCCACUAGAAAAAGGGUGACAUGUGGGAAGUCAGAAAGCAAAUGCUCUGAUAGAAACAUUAGUGAGUAACAGAACUAGUUUAAUGCACUUACAAUGUGCCCACAAGUCUGCUUGCUGUUACUUGAGUGGCAUCUGAUGGAAAUAUCCUUGCCAUUCCAAAAUCAGAAAUCUUAGGGUUUAGUUGAGAAUCUAACAGAAUAUUGCUUGCUUUCAAGUCCCUAUGGAUUAUGCGUAGUCGUGAGUGAUUGUGAAGGUACAGAAGCCCUUGAGCUAUGCCUUCAACUAUUUUAAUUCGUCUCUUCCAUUUGAGUGAUGCUCCCCUGAUCGGAUCUACAAGCAAUGUAACACAAGACCAAGUGUUAGUUCUGCAUAGUAGAACGAAUGCAAUUACGAAAGUUGCAUUUUAGAUUAACCACAUGCCGAAAAUGAAGUGAUCCAAGCUUUUGUUGGGCAGGUAUUCGUAGAUCAGCAUCUUCUCUUCUUCAUGGAUGCAACAGCCAAGCAGCCUAACAAGGUUUCUGUGCUGAAGUUUCGCGAUAACCUGGAUCUCAUUCUUGAACUCUAAUAGACCUUGUCGUGAUCGAGCAGACAGCCUUUUAAUUGCUAGAUCUUGUCCAUCAGGAAAUACUCCCUGCAAAAACUCAUCGCUCCAUGUUUAUAUGGAGCCAUCUAAAUUUCAUGAUAUUGGUGCAUGACCGUAAUAAUAACAAGGAAAUACCUUGUAAACUGGGCCAAAUCCACCCUCUCCUAGUUUAUUUUGGGUUGAGAAGUUGUCUGUAGCAUCAGCAAUCUGAGAGAAAUCAUACAAUGAGAACUCUGAGCUAGUGUCUUCGAGCCUCCAUAGCCUAAGUACUUCAUCAAUGUUCCUGGGCCCCUCCGUCGAGUUCAUUUUUCCUAAAUAUGCAUCUCUCCAUUAAUUUUUACAUGCAGUUGGAGAUUUGGAUUUUUCUUUAUUUUUGUAUAAGGCUGAUAUGCUUACUUCUUUUUUGUUUUCUCCAGACACUUAGGAGCCAGAAAAACAACCGUGUACAGAGGACUGCGGAAGAGUAAACUGCUGCAAUGAUGAAGAAUGCACGGUCUUUCUUUUGUCCUGAAAAUGAAAAUGAUACAUGAAACGAUCAAUAAUGGGGCUUAACAAUGUCUCAAGAAUUUUGGAACACCAAGAUGCGCCUCAGAUUAAUAAGCUGAAUUUUUGGAGUUUGCAGAAAUAGCUCAUCUUGGUAGCAAGCUGACAAUUGGCAACAUUCAGCAGAAACUCACGUAGGGACAGCAUCUUGGUGUUGCCGGUGAGGUUGAAGAACUGCAGGCCCAUCUCGUAUCGCAUGGUGCACCGCGCCCCGAAGACCGCCCCACCCAUCUUGCCACCGCCGAUCUUCCUCCGCCUCUCCG